UACGGAGGGUGCGAGCGUUGUCCGGAAUCAUUGGGCGUAAAGGGCGCGUAGGCGGCCGACCAAGUCGGGUGUGAAAUCCCUCGGCUCAACCGAGGAACUGCACUCGAUACUGGUUGGCUCGAGUCCGGUAGGGGAGUGCGGAAUUCCUGGUGUAGCGGUGAAAUGCGCAGAUAUCAGGAGGAACACCGGUGGCGAAGGCGGCACUCUGGGCCGGAACUGACGCUGAGGAGCGAAAGCGUGGGGAGCGAACAGG
Molecule: ribosomal RNA, 253 nt
Filed under: uncultured bacterium
Lineage: Bacteria
Description: partial 16S ribosomal RNA
Rfam family: Bacterial small subunit ribosomal RNA
Source: RNAcentral